This 497-nucleotide ribosomal RNA is filed under the name uncultured bacterium. Its description in RNAcentral is "partial 16S ribosomal RNA". It matches the Rfam family "Bacterial small subunit ribosomal RNA", at positions 28 to 507 of the family's 1533-position model. The record is from RNAcentral.
GAUGAACGCUGGCGGCGUGCCUAAUACAUGCAAGUCGAGCGAACAGACGAGGAGCUUGCUCCUUUGACGUUAGCGGCGGACGGGUGAGUAACACGUGGGUAACCUACCUAUAAGACUGGGAUAACUUCGGGAAACCGGAGCUAAUACCGGAUAAUAUUUCGAACCGCAUGGUUCGAUAGUGAAAGAUGGCUCUGCUAUCACUUAUAGAUGGACCUGCGCCGUAUUAGCUAGUUGGUAAGGUAACGGCUUACCAAGGCAACGAUACGUAGCCGACCUGAGAGGGUGAUCGGCCACACUGGAACUGAGACGCGGUCCAGACUCCUACGGGAGGCAGCAGUAGGGAAUCUUCCGCAAUGGGCGAAAGCCUGACGGAGCAACGCCGCGUGAGUGAUGAAGGUCUUCGGAUCGUAAAACUCUGUUAUUAGGGAAGAACAAACGUGUAAGUAACUGUGCACGUCUUGACGGUACCUAAUCAGAAAGCCACGGCUAACUACGUG